RNAcentral lists this ribosomal RNA (564 nucleotides) under uncultured Glomeromycotina. RNAcentral describes it as "SSU rRNA". It matches the Rfam family "Eukaryotic small subunit ribosomal RNA", at positions 548 to 1114 of the family's 1831-position model. Lineage: Eukaryota; Fungi; Glomeromycota. The record is from RNAcentral.
UUGGAGGGCAAGUCUGGUGCCAGCAGCCGCGGUAAUUCCAGCUCCAAUAGCGUAUAUUAAAGUUGUUGCAGUUAAAAAGCUCGUAGUUGAAUUUCGAGAUCAAAUUGUUGGUCGUGCCUUGGUACGUACUGGCAUUAUUGGUUUCUCCCUUCUGAAGAACCAUGAUGUCAUUAAUUUGGUGUCAUGGGGAAUCAGGACUGUUACUUUGAAAAAAUUAGAGUGUUUAAAGCAGGCUCGCGCUUGAAUACAUUAGCGUGGAAUAAUGAAAUAGGACGUUUAAUUCUAUUUUGUUGGUUUCUAGGAUUGACGUAAUGAUUAAUAGGGAUAGUUGGGGGCAUUAGUAUUCAAUUGUCAGAGGUGAAAUUCUUGGAUUUAUUGAAGACUAACUACUGCGAAAGCAUUUGCCAAGGAUGUUUUCAUUAAUCAAGAACGAAAGUUAGGGGAUCGAAGACGAUCAGAUACCGUCGUAGUCUUAACCAUAAACUAUGCCGACUAGGGAUCGGAUGAUGUUAAUUUUUUAAUGACUCAUUCGGCGCCUUACGGGAAACCAAAGUGUUUGGGUUC